This 506-nucleotide ribosomal RNA is filed under the name uncultured bacterium. RNAcentral's name for it is "partial 16S ribosomal RNA". It matches the Rfam family "Bacterial small subunit ribosomal RNA", at positions 30 to 523 of the family's 1533-position model. The record is from RNAcentral.
AUUGAACGCUGGCGGCAGGCCUAACACAUGCAAGUCGAACGGUAACAGGAAGAAGCUUGCUUCUUUGCUGACGAGUGGCGGACGGGUGAGUAAUGUCUGGGAAACUGCCUGAUGGAGGGGGAUAACUACUGGAAACGGCAGCUAAUACCGCAUAACGUCGCAAGACCAAAGAGGGGGACCUUCGGGCCUCUUGCCAUCGGAUGUGCCCAGAUGGGAUUAGCUAGUUGGUGGGGUAACGGCUCACCAAGGCGACGAUCCCUAGCUGGUCUGAGAGGAAGACCAGCCACACUGGAACUGAGACACGGUCCAGACUCCUACGGGAGGCAGCAGUGGGGAAUAUUGCACGAUGGGCGCAAGCCUGAUGCAGCCAUGCCGCGUGUAUGAAGAAGGCCUUCGGGUUGUAAAGUACUUUCAGCGGGGAGGAAGGGGGUAAAGUUAAUACCUUUGCUCAUUGACGUUACCCGCAGAAGAAGCACCGGCUAACUCCGUGCCAGCCGCCGCGGUAA